RNAcentral lists this ribosomal RNA (253 nucleotides) under uncultured bacterium. RNAcentral describes it as "partial 16S ribosomal RNA". It matches the Rfam family "Bacterial small subunit ribosomal RNA", at positions 524 to 776 of the family's 1533-position model. The record is from RNAcentral.
UACAUAGGUGGCAAGCGUUGUUCGGAAUUCCUGGGCGUAAAGGGCGCGUAGGCGGUCUUGCAAGUCCUGUGUGAAAUCCCUCGGCUCAACUGAGGAACUGCACAGGAAACUGCUUGGCUUGAGUUCGGGAGAGGGAAGCGGAAUUCCGGGUGUAGCGGUGAAAUGCGUAGAGAUCCGGAGGAACACCGGUGGCGAAGGCGGCUUCCUGGACCGACACUGACGCUGAGGCGCGAAAGCUAGGGGAGCAAACGGG